This is an RNA transcript of Panicum hallii, 1358 nucleotides long. RefSeq lists it as uncharacterized. The transcript is spliced from 4 exons. Lineage: Eukaryota; Viridiplantae; Streptophyta; Magnoliopsida; Poales; Poaceae. The record is from RefSeq and is a predicted model, not a curated record.
AACCCGUGAGCAACGGGGUCGUGUCCGUGGUGUUUCCAGUUAGUUGACCUGGAAGGAGGGGUUCCCUGAACACAAAGGCAGAUACCGGAAGCAGACUCGAGACUCCUCAUCAAAGGUUGACAUAGAUGAGAUCAAAAAGCAGGUGAAGAUGGAGAUGUUUGGAGAGCUAAAGACCAGUAUCGAGUCUCAGGUGAAGAUGCAGAUGUUUGGAGAGCUAAAGACCAUCUUCGAGUCUCAGGGAUUGUCAUUCCCUGAUUUGCCGGGGAGUACGAUGAGUGAAGAGAGAAGGGACAGCUUCGCUUGUACUGCAGCGGGUGCUUCUCAGAGUAGAGGGACAGAGAGGGCAAUUGUGCCUACAUCAGUGGAGCCGGAUACGAUAGAUGGCUUGGCUCGUCCGACCCGAUGCAGUCUUCUCGUGCAGCUGGUCGGAGAUUCAUCUCGAUUGGAGGUCGGGAACGGGCUUGUGUAUCCCGGUAUGUCCCAGCUUGAAGGUGUCCAGGUCAGGGCUGAUUGUGCUGUGGUCAAGAUUGACUACCUGCAUGAGUUUGCUAAGAAUAUCAAGCUGGAUGUGCCACCAGAUGACAUGACCACCACUUUGCGGGAUGCAGUUGCGAGAAGGGUUCAGUGGCGGAGAGCUGGUAUUCAUAUUGAUCCAGCAGAUGCAGAUUCAGUACCGACCACUGAACCUCAACCACAGAGUCCUGCAGUGCCACAGACGUUUUCUGAGCCAUGGCCACAGCUGUCGGAUACAUGGGAAGCGUUACCGGAUCCGCAUCCUCCUGUCCCUACUCAGCCUCAGAUUACCCCCCCUGCACCUGUUCCGACAGAGCCAGCUACCGCUCCCAAGAAGCCAAGCAAGGCUAAUCCUGUGAGGAAGAAGCAGAGUAGGCCGCGACGAAGCGGGAGAUCUCAGAGGGUAAGAAAAAGGUGGAGCAGAUAAAACACCCGGUUGCAAGUGCUUAGAAUCCAAAGUACAAGGUUGGAAAGUCCUUGCUUAGUGUCCCUGAGCUUCGGAAAGCAGGUCAAUAUUGUUUGGACCUGCACAACUACUACAUGCGCAAUGUCAAUCGUCAUGAGGAAAUCAUGGUGUCAUACGAAGAGAGGCACUUUCUGCAGCUUGAGGGCAGUCGUAACAUCUUUAUUGUUGCCUGGAGCGAUUUGUUCGACCUUUUCAACCUCGACGCUUUGGAUCUUUCUCUCAUUCGGUGCUUUGCAUUGCACAUGCAACAAGACACAAGGCGUCGAACCGGAAAGAAGUGUGGGUACAUUGACCCACAGAUGAUGACGGUGACAGUAAUGAAUUCAUAUAGAGAUAGCUUGGUCAGGUACAUGGUGAAGUGCAUGCGAGUACAUGCUGA